Molecule: small nuclear RNA, 106 nt
Filed under: Chinchilla lanigera (long-tailed chinchilla)
Lineage: Eukaryota; Metazoa; Chordata; Mammalia; Rodentia; Chinchillidae
Source: RNAcentral
GUGCUCGCUUCAGCAGCACAUACACUAAAAUUGGAAUGACACAGAGAAGACUAGCAUGGCCCCGGACAAGGAUGACAUGCAAAUUCGUGAAGCGUUGUGUAUUUUU